This 1057-nucleotide long non-coding RNA is filed under the name Strigops habroptila (Kakapo). RNAcentral describes it as "lncRNA (ENSSHBG00005019828.1)". Lineage: Eukaryota; Metazoa; Chordata; Aves; Psittaciformes; Psittacidae. The record is from RNAcentral.
GCUGGCGGCCGUCCCCUGGCGAGCGGACGGCAGGGCCUCCCGUCCCCGCCCCGCGGCCUGGCACCGGCGGACGGUGUGAAGGGGCGUUUCUCCUCCCCAGCCCCUCUGUCGGCUCAGACUUCGAGCCGCCAGGUUUCGCUGCGCGGAGGUUUGAGGUGCCGAUUCCCACUGCCGUGUAGCUGGGAACGGGCGCUGCCCCGUCGGGAACGGGCAGGAGGCAAGGCCGCAAGGAGGCGGAACGGAGCUUUACUUCAUGUCUUCCUUGAAAACGCUUACCGGUGCUGGGCUCGCCUCCGGAGGGGUGGCAGCAAAAGGCUCCGCCGGGCGGUGACGGGGCCCUCCUGGCCAGCGGGAACGAGGAGUCACUGCUCCUUACAACGGCGGCAAGCCGCCAGGGGGCGGCGUUAAAGUGUAGUGAACCCGGGCUUUUUAUAAGAGCAAGUAGUGAUAGGGCAAGGGGGGGUGGCUUUAAACUGAAAUAGGGUAGAUUUAGGUUACAUUUUAAGAAGUUCUUCACAGUGAGCGUCGUGAGACACUGGAACAGGUUGCCCAGAGAAGUUGUGGAUGUCCCAGCCCUGGAAGUGUCCAAGGCCAGGCUGGACGGGGCUUUGAGCAACCUGAUCCGGUGGAAGGUGUCCUUGCCCAUGGCAGGAGGGUUGGAACUAGAUGAGCUUUAAGGUCUUUUCCAACCUAAACCGUUCUAUGAUUCUAUAAUUUUGCUUGUUUCCUCAGAAGCAUGGGUCAUCCCCCUGCAGCUGGGUUAUUCCGCCUUGACACCUGCCUUGACCCGGGAGCAGCCCCUGCUGUGCCAUCUACGUUAUCAUGUUUAAUGAGAGAAUGGGUAGAAUAGCUCUGAACCAAGAGAGCUUUCUUUGGCUAGAUGAGCCAUUAUCUAGCAUUUAUACAGCCUUUUUCAAAGCAAUGAGAUAAGCAGGUCGAAAAAAUAAACAGGAACAAAGGAACAGAGAAGGCUGAGAGCACGAACUGCAGAACUAGAGAUGGAGAAGUGGGAUGGAGCUUGAAACUAGUCUGUCAAAAAAAGGGAAGAAAAAAAAAA